UAGUAAUAGAACCUAUGACUCAUCAGUCUCAUCAGUCAUAGUUCUAUGACUCUGCCUUUAGUAAUUCCAUUUUGUCGUAUUAUUAACUUGGUUCAAUGUUUGAAUUCUUAAAAUGAGGAUUAAGUGUUGUGUUUUUUUUUGUAUCAGUAACACCUAUGGGAAAAACAAACCCAAACUUUUUUUUUCAUGGCCAAAAGACGAGAAUUCAUUGAGCCACAGCUCAAUGAUAUGCUCAAUGAUCCAACAGUUCUGUAACUGGAUUUUCGAAGCAUUUUAAGCUACUUAAAUGUUUGUGUUGCUAAAAAUAAAACUGUGUUAGAUAAUCAGUCAAACAACACAUUGUUCUUUUAUUUGAAUGGACAAUCAAGAUCUCAACAACUAGAGCCUGUCAACUCUAAUCGUACUCAUACUCCAACUACAUACACUGCAAGUAACUUGAGUACAUAGCCAUCCAACUCACCUUUCUCUGAUGUCAAUGGAAAAUCAAGAUCUCAACAUCCACAGACUUUCACCAUCUCCAAUUGUACUGAUACUCCAACAUCCACUAAACUUGAGUACACAGUCAACCAAAUCACCAAAUUCUCAAAUGGGACUGGACAAUCAAGAUGUCAACAACUAGAGCUUGUCACCAUCUCUCAUUGUACUGAUCCUCCAACAUCCACUGUAAGCACAAUAAUGUUAAGUUGUUAAGUAAAAUGCAUGUUCAUUAGUUUGUGCUUCUGUUUUAAUUGGGUUAUUGACAAUACAGUGGGCUAUUACUAUAAACAA
Long non-coding RNA from Daphnia magna, 768 nucleotides. RefSeq lists it as uncharacterized. The transcript has 4 exons. NCBI's taxonomy places the organism in Eukaryota, Metazoa, Arthropoda, Branchiopoda, Diplostraca, Daphniidae. The record is from RefSeq and is a predicted model, not a curated record.